AAGAGUUCAGAAAUACACCUUUUAGGUUCAGACACUGAAAAUCUUCAUCACCGCUGGCUUGGAAGAGAGGAAUACUGGUGCCACAGUUCACAAACCUAAAGCAGCUUGGAUUUGUUUCACCUGGACUUACUACUACCAUACCAUUUGAUCCAUCAAUGCCGCAGCAGGACCGACAGAAUUGUGAAGGCCGUUUUCUUAAUACAAACAUUGUUUUUUUUUAUUAUGUGUUGUUCUAUAUUUGUACACGGAUGUUUAGCCUAUGUACAUUCCCUUCCAACAGAAUCAUUCAGUAGUAAAAGUAAAUGUACAUUAUUUAUCUGUCUGUGUUUUUUUUAAAUUAAAUACACAAAGAGCCUAACAUAUCCUGUAUGUAUUCGUAACUGGAGAAAAAUGAAGAUUGCAUCAAUAAAGAUUUAUGAGAAAAUAAUUUAUUUGAUCUUUUAAAAACACAUUUAAAAACAAGAAUAAAUAACAGUAGAGAAAUUGCAAUAAAUAAUUAUGCAGCAGUGAAUACAUCCAACGUAGUUGACCCUUCUGGGUAUACUGGUUUGCUUUUCACAGAAAAUACUUGUGGUGUUCUCCCUGCCCUAUUACAGGGCUGAAUACAUAGAGAUGUAGGCUGCCUUCACACGUAUGCAACCCAACUCACAGUUCAGUAGGUGAUGACCGACCCACACUGCAGCACACCAUUAUGUUGUGUUGCAGUGUGUUAAAGAAAAAAGGUACAAGUCUGGUUUUUGUUCCCUUGCCUUGCAUUGGCAACCCAUCUGUGCUGAUGGCAUCAGUUUGAGACGAUUCUGAGAUUAUUUAGAAAUUGGUGACCGGUUCAUUUAACCUAUAACUUAAAUAGCAAUGCUAAACCCAUGUGUUGUGACGAAAAGCCCAUUACACAGGUUCUUAAAUCAGAAGACUAAAAAUUUUAACCAAAUUUUUUUUUUUUUUUUAUACAUUUCCCUUUAAACCCUGUGCAACCAGGCUGACAGCACUGGGUAUAAUUUAAGCUACUUAUGAGUUAUGCAUUGCCAACAGUUUUAAACACAAUGAGAACAGCUGAGACUAAGCCCUGGUUUACACUUAUGCGAUGUGGGAAACGCAUCGAAUCUUGUUCGUUCACCGCACAGCGUCCAUGUGAUCUUCUGCAGAGGGCAAUGUUAUCUUAACGACCCCGAAACAGAUCACAAAAUGCAGUGCGAUUGGCACAAUCGCAUUGCAUGGGUGCGAUGCAAUUUAGGUGUGGGGAAAAAAAAAAGUUAUGUACCAUUUUGGUGCAGAUGUGAUUUCGGACAUAGAAAAUGUUAUGGCUGAAAUCACACCGCACAGACUUCACCUGUGGUGUCUACAUCGCAUAAGUGUGAACCCAGGCAAUUUUUUUGCAUGACCAGGACUGUCUAUGAAAUUUCAGAUACAGAGGACUAGAAGUACAGUAAUAGGCAUCUGUGGUAACACACAUUAUUUUACAUGUUUUAGGCAGCCCAUUAAAGAUUAUGAGGAGUUUGUAUUUUGGCUUCUCGUGUCUGGCAAGUCCUACACUACUAUUUUAAAGAGCAUAAAAAAAUGGUGUUUUUUUGUGUUACCUAAGCUCGAUCCCAGACCGCACUUGGAUAAUUCUUUGCUUGCUAACUGCAUAUUGAAAUACAAAAACCAGGGAAUUCAAUUGUGGUAGUAGAAUUCCUGAACCUGCACACAUUAUUCUAGGGUAGUGUGUCUCAGAAAGCAGUAAACUAGCCUGUUUGGUAAGGAGAUAUUUUAAAUAGGCCAGCACAUUCCCAGUAUUGUUAUACUAUUUCGUUGAAUGCCGGUCUAUUUAAAAUGCAGUUUGUUCACUUGUUUAGACUGUGGAUGUAUUCUGUUGUACAGCAUCCAAAUAAUUACACACAAAUAUAACAUAGAGCAAAUAUGUAAACAGUAUAUUAAAUAAAUAUAUUACAAUUAAUAAUUUAGGUUUAAAAAAAUAAAUUAGUCACAAAUAUAACAAUAAAUAUUAAAAUAAUUUGGUCGUCAUGCUAAUAGGCACUCUUUUUUUAGUGCAUACCCCAGGACAAUCGUUCAUGACGAUAUACUCAAGUAUUAGCUGGGUAGUAGUCCUUUGAACCACUUAGCUAAGAUUUGUGCUGGGGCAUAUGCUGGGUGCCCUUAAUUAAAAAAAUAAAAUAAUAAUAAUUAAAAAAAUAAAGUUGGAAGGUCCGAUCGUGUUACUACACAAUUCAACCUUCCUGUAAAUCUAACGUUCUGCAAACAGAACAAGUGUGUAUCACUACACAGUAGUGAAUAUGAAAAAGUGUGUUUAACCACUGCUGUUUCGUAUAGCUCGGGAUGUCUUGAUCAUGUAAUCUUUGAAUGACUGUAGAAUGAGGUAGGUUGUGAGCUUUUCAGUCCAAGAAUCUUUGGACAGUAAGUUCUCCAUUGGAAUGUCUGUACCAGUGACCUCUUUCUCGUCAAGGAGAUUCUUUCCCAUCUAAAAACAGAAUAAAAUCAUUUUAAGAGGGUGUUCAAAGACUUUGUUAGUAAAAAUAAUGUACAAAAAUGUAUUAUUUCUUUACAGAACUUUUUUUUUCUAUUGGUCAGCUUUAAUCUUUUCUCAGCAUUGUUGGUGUAAUAAAGAUUUGAUUUGUAAAUCGCA
Long non-coding RNA from Rana temporaria (common frog), 2620 nucleotides. RefSeq lists it as uncharacterized. The record is from RefSeq and is a predicted model, not a curated record. The transcript is spliced from 2 exons. NCBI's taxonomy places the organism in Eukaryota, Metazoa, Chordata, Amphibia, Anura, Ranidae.